This is a long non-coding RNA of Trifolium pratense (red clover), 427 nucleotides long. RefSeq lists it as uncharacterized. The transcript has 3 exons. NCBI's taxonomy places the organism in Eukaryota, Viridiplantae, Streptophyta, Magnoliopsida, Fabales, Fabaceae. The record is from RefSeq and is a predicted model, not a curated record.
AUUGCAGCCUGCAGGUAUCUCUUUCUAUCUUUCACUUGUGUAGUCCCCUUAAUAGGAUCCGGUAUUAAAAAAAUUAAACACUUUAUUUGUUGUUUUGUAUACUGUGAAAUGAAUGACUUUCAGGUGAAAAGGGAAGAUUAAAUCAAAUAGUAGAUAAAGAUCUAAUGGGAGAGUGACUUAUUUAAAUGGGAAGAAAUUGUCCAUGUUGCACUCAUGUGUAGACAUAUUUUAGAUUCAGAAAAACUAGCACUCAUUAUCAGACAUGAAAACAAAUGAGUAUAUGCCAACAAUGGUGGUGUUGACAAGACAAAAGUGGCCAACAUUAUUGUACGCAGAGAGGGAUCAAUGGUGCUUUUACUUCUACUUCAUUUGAAAGAUCAAGGAUGUGAAUUUUGACGUAUCAAUUUAUAUUUAGCUAGUUUUGUGA